This 158-nucleotide small nuclear RNA is filed under the name Trichobilharzia regenti. Its description in RNAcentral is "U1 spliceosomal RNA". It matches the Rfam family "U1 spliceosomal RNA". From Rfam's summary of the family: U1 is a small nuclear RNA (snRNA) component of the spliceosome (involved in pre-mRNA splicing). Its 5' end forms complementary base pairs with the 5' splice junction, thus defining the 5' donor site of an intron. There are significant differences in sequence and secondary structure between metazoan and yeast U1 snRNAs, the latter being much longer (568 nucleotides as compared to 164 nucleotides in human). The record is from Rfam by way of RNAcentral. Lineage: Eukaryota; Metazoa; Platyhelminthes; Trematoda; Strigeidida; Schistosomatidae.
AUAUUACCUGUUGUUGGGUUCAGGGUGAUCAAGAAUGCUCUAGCCUUGGGUGUAAGCUCACCAUUGCACCUCGGUGGGUUGAAACUUGCCAAGGAUCUUGAUCGGGUGCACUUGGGCGCGUAGUUUUUGUCAGUUGGGAGGCCUCACGGUCCUCCCUU